UGGGGAAUAUUGCACAAUGGAGGGAACUCUGAUGCAGCGACGCCGCGUGAACGAAGAAGGCUUUCGAGUCGUAAAGUUCUUUUAUAUGGGAAGAUAAUGACGGUACCAUAAGAAAAAGCCCCGGCUAACUACGUGCCAGCAGCCGCGGUAAUACGUAGGGGGCUAGCGUUGUCCGGAAUCACUGGGCGUAAAGGGUUCGCAGGCGGAAAUGCAAGUCAGGUGUAAAAGGCAGUAGCUUAACUACUGUAAGCAUUUGAAACUGCAUAUCUUGAGAAGAGUAGAGGUAAGUGGAAUUUUUGGUGUAGCGGUGAAAUGCGUAGAUAUUAAAAAGAAUACCGGUGACGAAGGCGACUUACUGGGCUCAUUCUGACGCUGAGGAACGAAAGCGUGGGUAGCAAACAGG
This 403-nucleotide ribosomal RNA is filed under the name Bacteroidota bacterium. RNAcentral describes it as "Bacteroidetes bacterium partial 16S ribosomal RNA". It matches the Rfam family "Bacterial small subunit ribosomal RNA", at positions 355 to 776 of the family's 1533-position model. Lineage: Bacteria; Pseudomonadati; Bacteroidota. The record is from RNAcentral.